RNAcentral lists this ribosomal RNA (292 nucleotides) under uncultured bacterium. Its description in RNAcentral is "partial 16S ribosomal RNA". The record is from RNAcentral.
GGACUACAGGGGUAUCUAAUCCUGUUCGCUCCCCACGCUUUCGCGUCUCAGCGUCAGUACCGUACUAGAGAGCCGCCUUAGCCACGGGUGUUCUUCCUGAUAUCUGCGCAUUUCACCGCUACACCAGGAAUUCCACUCUCCUCUUCCGGACUCUAGCCUGAUGGUUUCCACCGGCGUCUCGAGGUUGAGCCUCGAGUUUUCACAGCGGACCUACCAAACCGCCUACACGCUCUUUACGCCCAAUAAAUCCGGACAACGCUUGCCCCCUACGUAUUACCGCGGCGGCUGGCAC